This 253-nucleotide ribosomal RNA is filed under the name uncultured bacterium. Its description in RNAcentral is "partial 16S ribosomal RNA". It matches the Rfam family "Bacterial small subunit ribosomal RNA", at positions 524 to 776 of the family's 1533-position model. The record is from RNAcentral.
UACGAAGGGGGCUAGCGUUGUUCGGAUGUACUGGGCGUAAAGCGCGUGUAGGCGGAUCGUUAAGUCGGGGGUGAAAGCCCAGAGCUCAACUCUGGAAUUGCCUUCGAUACUGGCGGUCUGGAGCAGAGAAGAGGCGAGUGGAAUUCCGAGUGUAGAGGUGAAAUUUGUAGAUAUUCGGAGGAACACCAGUGACGAAUGCGGCUCUCUGGUCUCUUGCUGAAGCUGAGACUCGAUAGCGUGGGGAGCAAACAGG